UGAGUAACACGUGGGUAACCUGCCUCAUAGAGGGGGAUAGCCUCCCGAAAGGGAGAUUAAUACCGCAUAAUGUAUUUUGUUCGCAUGAAUAAAAUAUCAAAGGAGUAAUCCACUAUGAGAUGGACCCGCGGCGCAUUAGCUAGUUGGUGAGGUAACGGCUCACCAAGGCGACGAUGCGUAGCCGACCUGAGAGGGUGAUCGGCCACAUUGGAACUGAGACACGGUCCAGACCCCUACGGGAGGCAGCAGUGGGGAAUAUUGCGCAAUGGGGGAAACCCUGACGCAGCAACGCCGCGUGAAUGAUGAAGGCCUUAGGGUUGUAAAGUUCUGUCUUCUGGGACGAUAAUGACGGUACCAGAGGAGGAAGCCACGGCUAACUACGUGCCAGCAGCCGCGGUAAUACGUAGGUGGCAAGCGUUGUCCGGAUUUACUGGGCGUAAAGGAUGCGUAGGCGGAUAUUUAAGUCAGAUGUGAAAUACCCGGGCUCAACUUGGGUGCUGCAUUUGAAACUGGAUAUCUAGAGUGCGGGAGAGGUAAGUGGAAUUCCUAGUGUAGCGGUGAAAUGCGUAGAGAUUAGGAAGAACACCAGUGGCGAAGGCGACUUACUGGACCGUAACUGACGCUGAGGCAUGAAAGCGUGGGGAGCAAACAGGAUUAGAUACCCUGGUAGUCCACGCCAUAAACGAUGAAUACUAGGUGU
This 700-nucleotide ribosomal RNA is filed under the name uncultured bacterium. RNAcentral describes it as "bacterial SSU rRNA". It matches the Rfam family "Bacterial small subunit ribosomal RNA", at positions 107 to 823 of the family's 1533-position model. The record is from RNAcentral.